RNAcentral lists this small nucleolar RNA (107 nucleotides) under Gossypium hirsutum (cotton). Its description in RNAcentral is "Plant small nucleolar RNA R71". It matches the Rfam family "Plant small nucleolar RNA R71". Rfam says of the family: R71 is a member of the C/D box family of snoRNAs containing the C (UGAUGA) and D (CUGA) box motifs. Multiple nearly identical copies of this snoRNA have been identified in Arabidopsis, and it is thought to function as a 2'-O-ribose methylation guide for 18S ribosomal RNA. Lineage: Eukaryota; Viridiplantae; Streptophyta; Magnoliopsida; Malvales; Malvaceae. The record is from Rfam by way of RNAcentral.
AAUCAAUUGUACGAUCAUUUUUGAAUCAACAUUUUGAAACGUUCCCAUGCCUCAUAGAAACUUUCUCCCUCCAUCUGCCUAAGGAUAACAAUCUUUCUUCUUAGUUG